This 635-nucleotide small RNA is filed under the name Geosmithia flava. Its description in RNAcentral is "eukaryotic LSU rRNA". The stretch from base 192 to 345 matches the Rfam family "5.8S ribosomal RNA". Lineage: Eukaryota; Fungi; Ascomycota; Sordariomycetes; Hypocreales; Bionectriaceae. The record is from RNAcentral.
GCGGAGGGAUCAUUAUCGAGUUACAAACUCCAAACCUUUGUGAACAUACCACAGUUGCUUCGGCGGCCUCGCCCCGGGCGCAUCGGGACCCCUCCGGGGGGACCGCGGCGACCCGGACCCAGGCGACCGCCGGGGGACCCAAACUCUUGUCUUUUAGUGUAUUAUCUGAGUGGCAUAAGCAAAUAAAUUAAAACUUUCAGCAACGGAUCUCUUGGUUCUGGCAUCGAUGAAGAACGCAGCGAAAUGCGAUAAGUAAUGUGAAUUGCAGAAUUCAGUGAAUCAUCGAAUCUUUGAACGCACAUUGCGCCCGCCAGUACUCUGGCGGGCAUGCCUGUCCGAGCGUCAUUUCAACCCUCAGCACCCCCGUUCGCGGCGGGAGCUGGCGUUGGGGAUCGGCCGUCCUCUGCGGCGGCCGGCCCCGAAACGAAGUGGCGGUCACGUCGCGACCUCCUCUGCGUAGUAGCAAUAUCUCGCAGCCUGGAUAGCGGCGCGGCCAUGCCGUAAAACCCCAACUAUACCAAGGUUGACCUCGGAUCAGGUAGGAAUACCCGCUGAACUUAAGCAUAUCAAUAAGCGGAGGAAAAGAAACCAACAGGGAUUGCCUUAGUAACGGCGAGUGAAGCGGCAACAGCUCA